Molecule: non-coding RNA, 113 nt
Organism: Acanthosepion pharaonis
Lineage: Eukaryota; Metazoa; Mollusca; Cephalopoda; Sepiida; Sepiidae
Source: the annotation of a GenBank genome assembly
UUACGGCCAUAUCACAUUGAAACACCAGUCCUCGUCAAAUCACCGAAGUUAAGCAACGUCGAGCCUGGCCAGUGGCUAGAUGGGUGACCACUUGAGUAUAAAAGGUGCUGCAA